UGCCAGCCGCCGCGGUAAUACGAAGGGAGCUAGCGUUGUUCGGAAUUACUGGGCGUAAAGCGUGCGUAGGUGGAUAUGUAAGUCAGGGGUGAAAUCCCGGAGCUCAACUCCGGAACUGCCUCUGAAACUACAUAUCUUGAGUCUCGGAGGGGAUGGUGGAAUUUCUAAUGUAGCGGUGAAAUGCGUAGAGAUUAGAAGGAACACCGGUGGCGAAGGCGACCAUCUGGACGAGAACUGACACUGAGGUACGAAAGCGUGGGGAGCAAACAGGAUUAGAUA
This 279-nucleotide ribosomal RNA is filed under the name uncultured bacterium. RNAcentral describes it as "partial 16S ribosomal RNA". It matches the Rfam family "Bacterial small subunit ribosomal RNA", at positions 506 to 784 of the family's 1533-position model. The record is from RNAcentral.